Long non-coding RNA from Schistocerca cancellata (South American locust), 969 nucleotides. RefSeq lists it as uncharacterized. The transcript is spliced from 3 exons. The record is from RefSeq and is a predicted model, not a curated record. Lineage: Eukaryota; Metazoa; Arthropoda; Insecta; Orthoptera; Acrididae.
AGAACGUCUAUUGUCUCUGACGAGCUGCCAGAAAUAGUAAGUACAUUUCUGUAUAAUGGAAACUUUGUACAAACUUGCACGAAUUGCCGUUUGUGGAAGACUCAAAAAUGCCUUGGAUGUUUAUCAAUUGGAGUUACCACAAACUAUACGGGAAGAUAUUUUAUUGGAAUUUCGUUAUUCAAAAUUUAAUUUCAUGUUAAAUUCGUAUAGACUGCCAGAAUGUUAUAUAUUUGAUAAAAGUGAAAAUGUUCCCACGAUUCCUGAAAUAGUAAAUGAUGCAGUAGAAGCUUGUGCAAAAAUAAGAGCGAGAAUUCCAGUUCCGUGGGAAACACUCGGUUUGAUUACAAUGUCUUUUUUUGAUAUUAGUACAUUCUGGCAAAGUAGAUUCAAAAUUAAAGUAUUUUUUUACGAAGUUACUUACAAACAUUUCGUAUAUACUAUUUGUGAGAAUUGUUUAUACAAAUUAUCCGAUUCAUGGCGAAACCCGCUACUGCAACCACUUCUAAUUGCAAUGAGAAUUAAUAUGGUAACCAAGGCACCAUCAUUUUCAUAUGGUGUAACUUGUCCGCCACAUAUUAAACAAUAUAGUCAUUGGUGCAUGUUUUGUGCAAAUAGUCCAUUGUUCAGAAGUGUACCUUGUGGUGGCUCGUUAAGCACUGUAUCUGAUUCAGAGGAAGACGAUGAAGUUGGCAGUAUUGGCGCUCGCUGUAUUGCAGUAGUUCGAGUAACGAAGAUUUUUGUGAGCGGAAAACUGCACAGCCGGCGACUUCUUUAUGAAGAGGUGUGAGUACUGCAUCUGUCUUGGAGGCGGGCAGGCGGCCUGCACCAAAAUCUACUGCGGAGACCCCGGCGGCGCGCAGCCGCUCACGUGACCAUAAGAGGCCGGGCACGUGACUCCCGGGGAAUGCCCCAGGCCUCACCCGCUCAUCAUCAAAGCCUUACGUGAUACGGAUUACACUGGAUAAAGUA